AUACGUAGGGUGCAAGCGUUAAUCGGAAUUACUGGGCGUAAAGCGUGCGCAGGCGGUUUUGUAAGACAGAGGUGAAAUACCCGGGCUCAACCUGGGAACUGCCUUUGUUACUGCAAGGCUAGAGUACGGCAGAGGGGGCUGGAAUUCCGCGUGUAGCAGUGAAAAGCGUAGAUAUGCGGAGGAACACCGAUGGCGAAGGCAAUCCCCUGGGCCUGUACUGACGCUCAUGCACGAAAGCGUGGGGAGCAAACAGGAUUAGAUACCCUGGUAGUCCACGCCCUAAACGAUGUCAACUGGUUGUUGGGUCUUAACUGACUCAGUAACGAAGCUAACGCGUGAAGUUGACCGCCUGGGGAGUACGGCCGCAAGGUUGAAACUCAAAUGAAUUGGCGGGG
RNAcentral lists this ribosomal RNA (395 nucleotides) under uncultured bacterium. RNAcentral's name for it is "partial 16S ribosomal RNA". It matches the Rfam family "Bacterial small subunit ribosomal RNA", at positions 523 to 918 of the family's 1533-position model. The record is from RNAcentral.